UCUUUUUAAGGACGUCGUCUCAAUUUUCUCUCCAUCUAAUGAGGUGGGAAGGAGCAUUGGACAAGACAGGUAGUCACUCUUGGACUCUGUGCCUCUUCAUGGAUGGGAGGCCUAUGAAGAAUGUCUGUGGAUUAGUCAUUUCUUCUAUUUAUGUGGACUGGAUUUGUCACCCCAGUGAGCCAAGCAAGGACCCUUAAUACCAUCUUGGAAUUCCCAGGAUCUCAGAGAAGAGCUAAUGCCCUGGCAUAGUGCUCGGCAGGUGACAGGCAGAACCUCCAGAAGGCUUAUUUGAAUACACACAGUUGGGACUUCCCUGGUGGCACAGUGGUUAAGAAUCUGCCUGCCAAUGCAGGGGACAUGGUUUCGAUCCCUGGUCAAGGAAGAUCCCACAUGCCACAGAGCAACUGAGCCUGUGCGCCACAACUGCUGAGCCUGUGCUCUAGAGCCCACGAGCCACAACUACUGAGCCUGCACACCACAACUACUGAAGCCCAUGUGCCUAGAGCCCAUGCUCCACAACAAGAGAAGCCACCACAGUGAGAAGCCUGGGCACUGCAGUGAAGAGUAGCCCCCACUCAGUGCAACUAGAGAAAGCCCAUGUGAAGCAAUGAAGUCCCAAUGCAGCCAAAAAUAAAAAUAAAAUAAAAUAAAUUUAUAAAAAUAUAUAUAUAUGUCCACAAUUUAAAAAUACUAAAAGAAAAGAAAAACGAAUACACACAGUUAUGGUCCCAUUUAUAUAAAGUUCAAGAAUAGGCAAAACUGGGACUUCUCUGGUGGUCCAGUGGUUAAGAAUCUGCCUUCCAAUGCAGGGGAUGUGGGUUUGAUCCCUGGUCGGGGAAUUAAGAUCCCACAUUCUGCGGGGCAACUAAGCCUGCGCGCCGCAACUACUGAGCCUGCAAGUUCUAGAGCCUGCGUGCCACAACUAGAGAGCCCAUGUGCUGCAACUACUGAGCCUGUGCGCUUUGGCAUGGAACGAAAGAUCCCUCAUGCCGCAACAAAGAUCCUGCGUGCCACAACCAACACCUGACACAGCCAAAUAAAUAAUUAAGAAAAUAAAAUAAAAUUAAAAAGGUAGACAAAACUACUAUAGAGGUACUGAGUGGGUGGGGCUCACAGGAGUCAGGUGUGGUAUUG
This is a long non-coding RNA of Lagenorhynchus albirostris (white-beaked dolphin), 1134 nucleotides long. RefSeq lists it as uncharacterized. Lineage: Eukaryota; Metazoa; Chordata; Mammalia; Artiodactyla; Delphinidae. The transcript has 4 exons. The record is from RefSeq and is a predicted model, not a curated record.